Molecule: ribosomal RNA, 253 nt
Filed under: uncultured bacterium
Lineage: Bacteria
Description: partial 16S ribosomal RNA
Rfam family: Bacterial small subunit ribosomal RNA
Source: RNAcentral
UACAGAGGUCUCAAGCGUUGUUCGGAUUCAUUGGGCGUAAAGGGUGCGUAGGCGGCGCGGUAAGUCGGGUGUGAAAUCUUGGAGCUUAACUCCGAAACUGCAUUCGAUACUGCCGUGCUUGAGGACUGGAGAGGAGACUGGAAUUUACGGUGUAGCGGUGAAAUGCGUAGAGAUCGGGAGGAACACCCGUGGCGAAGGCGGCCAGCUGGGCCGUCCCUGACGCUGAGGCGCGAAGGCGUGGGGAGCGAACGGG